CGGGGGGAGCAAGCGUUGUUCGGAUUUACUGGGCGUAAAGGGCGCGUAGGCGGCCACUGCAAGUCAGUUGUGAAAUCUCCGGGCUUAACUCGGAAAGGUCAACUGAUACUGCAGGGCUAGAGUGCGGAAGGGGCAACUGGAAUUCUCGGUGUAGCGGUGAAAUGCGUAGAUAUCGAGAGGAACACCUGCGGCGAAGGCGGGUUGCUGGGCCGACACUGACGCUGAAGCGCGAAAGCCAGGGGAGCGAACGGGAUUAGAUACCCCGGUAGUCCUGGCCUUAAACGAUGGAUGCUUGGUGUCUGGGGUUUUAUAGUCCCCGGGUGCCGUAGCUAACGCGUUAAGCAUCCCGCCUGGGGAGUACGGUCGCAAGACUG
This 374-nucleotide ribosomal RNA is filed under the name uncultured organism. RNAcentral describes it as "bacterial SSU rRNA". It matches the Rfam family "Bacterial small subunit ribosomal RNA", at positions 526 to 896 of the family's 1533-position model. The record is from RNAcentral.